Molecule: RNA transcript, 2784 nt
Organism: Dendrobium catenatum
Lineage: Eukaryota; Viridiplantae; Streptophyta; Magnoliopsida; Asparagales; Orchidaceae
Gene name: E3 ubiquitin ligase PQT3-like
Exons: 19
Source: RefSeq, a predicted model, not a curated record
AUGGCGGUACAGUACAAGUUCCGCAGCUCCGUGGCCUUCGAUUCCGUCGACCUCAGCGGCCGCUCGUCGAUCUCUGUCCGCGACCUCCGAGCCAGAAUAUCUGACAUCAAGAAACUCAAAAUCUGUGCUGACUUCGAUCUCGUUCUGUCCGACGCCGAUACUGGCAAAGUAUUUGAGAAUGAGGACUUCCAGAUUCCGGUGGGUGCUAGCGUAGUCAUCAAGCGAGUGCCAACGGGAAGAGAGGCGACUAAUGAUCGGGAUGCGAUUGCUGGCACUGCAGGAAAAUCGGGAGGAUGUGUUGGUACGCUGCAAUUAUCGACUUCUGAGAACUUUGGUGUUGACAACUUUGAUGACUUUGGUUUUGAUUUAUAUCCCAAUUUGGAUACAACAAUUCAUUGUUAUGCUGAUGAUAUGGACCACUUCAAUUCCUCUGCUAAUAAAAAGAAGGAUGUUUCCGUCAGGUCUUUUGAAGUACCCAACCUUAAGGGUCAAAAGAUUGACAGAAGCGAUGUUAGUGAGGACUUGUCCAACAAAGUUGGCGAAAAUUUCAGGGAAGAGUCUGAUGAAGGAGAGAACCAGAAGGAAAUGAACUCAAAGAACAACGUUGAGCUUAAGAAGAAACUUUCUGAGGAUAUGCACUUUCAGGUGACAUUUAAUACAGAUUUGCCAGCGGAGCUUAGGUGCUCACUUUGCAAUUCUAUAUUUAAAGAGGCCGUAAUGAUACCCUGCUGCCAACAUAGUUUUUGUAACAGAUGUAUUGCAUCAACAUUAGUUAAGCAAUCAAGUUGCCCCAAAUGUUCUUCCACAAAAUGCACCGUCAAGGACCUAUUGCCAAACUUGUCACUUCGCCAAGCAAUCGAACAUUUUCUUGAAGCACAGAACGCCAGUAUUGUUUCAUAUAACAAUCUUCCAAUGUAUGCUCCAGAUGGAGAAUCCGGAAUUCAAACUAAAGAGGUAUCAUGUGCUGUAUCUGUACGACCACAACUACCAACUUGCCAACCUUCCCCUUCUGCAACAGGGAUGGGGUCCAAUCAUGUUGUUUCAGAACCUGCAUCUGAAUGUAAUUUUCCUUUCAAAAGGAAUGAGGAACUGUGUACUGAAACACGAGGUGGGAGAGUUGCAAUUCCGUCAAUCAAGCAUAGAAAGUAUGAGCGUAACUGUUAUAUGUGUGGGGCCCCAGAUCACUUGAUUAGAGAGUGUCCUCAUGCCAAGACAGGAAAUGCUGUGGCCUCUGGAGGCAUUCCACCCUACCAAGAAGGCUAUUGGCGUGGGGCCUCUUUCACAAAUGUUCGGCCUUAUGCGAAUAUAUAUGGUGCCCCUCCUAUGAUGCCAUUUGAUCCAAUGAUGUUUCAGGCCCCAGCUUUUGGCAUUUCAUCGUGCAUGCCACCAAUGUAUGGUAGCCUGCCAGCACCCUAUGGAUUCAUGACAAUGGGAGCUGUCCCUCAUCUCAUGAUGCCUGGGGUAGAACCUAUAACUCAUGCUGCUGAAACUAUGAAUAAAAAAAAUGGUGUCAGGAAACGCAAUUAUGAACUUCAAGAGAGAUAUCAUGGUUCAGAUUUAUCUGAAGGUUGCUACUCUGGUGGAACUGAAAGAUCACAUGCCCAGCUAAUUCAAUCUGAUAAACGUAGCAGCUCUGACGAUGAUGAGCAAAGGGCACACGGAAAGCACUCACAACAAAAGCAUAAUAGUCCUCGUCGGAGGCCAAGUUAUGAAGGUGAUAAGCUUCAUUUGGUCAAUGAGAAGCAUAAGGAGCCUCAUCUUUUCGCUUGUGGAAUGGACCAGAGAAGUUAUUUUUCUGAAAAAUCAAAAUCUGAUUUACAAGAUGUAUCUAAUGACUCUAGAAGGCAUAACGGAGAGAGAAGAAGCCACCAGCAUAAAUGUUCUAAGCACAGUGGGAGUGAUUGCAGCUGGAAAAAGCAUCAUAGCAGCCGGUUGCAUGAAGAUGAUGAGUUUGUAACACAUCUUAAAAGCCAUCGCUGCGAACAAUAUAAUCAAUCAGAAUCUUGCUUGGAACCUGAAUCCUCCACUGACCAUCGAAAACUCCACAAAGAACGAGAGUCUAGUCACAGGUUCAGGCACUCUAGUAGAAUAAUCAAGUCUAGAGAUGAGCGGCUUGAUAAUGACAGAAGGGAGAUGGGUAAAGUCUGGAAGAAAAGAGAGAGAGAUCAUGGCUACAAGGAAAGUAGAGAUCAUGGCUACAAGGAAAGUAGGAGAAUCCGUUGAAAAUUCUUAAUAUUUAUUAGUUUUUUGGUUAGUGGAUGUGGAUAUAUUCCAGGAGUCAUACAAUGCUGCAGCCAUAGGAAUUAUGUCAUCAGAGAGUUCUAGCGUUCUUUCCCUUGAUAGUUUUGAAGUCUUGGGAGGUUCAUAAGAGCACACACUUACGUGGAGCUUAGAAGAUAUUGACAUGAUAUUGUCAAAUGUCGUUCUUGGUGUGGCGGAAUCCAUAUGUUUGCUUAGGUUCCAAUGUGUUUAUUUAUUUGCAGGUCAGCGGCAGGCAAGCAACUUCAUGACCAAAUGGUCGCUGUAUAUGCAGCUGAAAUUUAUCACAGUUUCAUAGGCUUCAUAACUAAGAGAAAUAAUUCAGUUGCUGAGAAAGAGUGGAUCAGGAUUUUCUGACCAAAAUUUGGUCAGGCCAGGGAACUGCUGCUCCAAAAUCCUUCGCUAUAAUUUUGGUGGUUUGGACUAUAAAUUUUCGAACAUGGCAUUCCAAUAUUCCAUGCAGUUGCCGCUAUUGUAACAUCAUUCAGGGCAUCUCCAAUCGACUCCAAAUGUUUGAAUGACGCU